This 443-nucleotide ribosomal RNA is filed under the name uncultured bacterium. Its description in RNAcentral is "partial 16S ribosomal RNA". It matches the Rfam family "Bacterial small subunit ribosomal RNA", at positions 338 to 795 of the family's 1533-position model. The record is from RNAcentral.
CCUACGGUGGGCUGCAGUGGGGAAUAUUGGGCAAUGGGCGCAACCCUGACCCAGCAACGCCGCGUGAAGGAAGAAGGCUUUCGGGUUGUAAACUUCUUUUGUCAGGGACGAAGCAAGCGACAGUUCCUGACGACUCAGCCACGGCUAACUACGUGCCAGCCGCCGCGGUACUACGUAGGUGGCCAGCGUUAUCCGGAUUUACUGGGUGUAAAGGGAGUGUAGGCGGGGAAGCAAGUCAGAUGUGAAAACCGAGGGCUCCACCUGUGUACUGUAUUUGAAACUGUUUUUCUUGAGUGCUGGAGAGGCAAGCGGAAUUCCGGGUGUAGCGGUGAAAUGCGUAGAGAUAAGGAGGAACACCAGUGGCGAAGGCGGAUUGCUGGACAGUAACUGACGCUGAGGCGCGAAAGCGUGGGGAGCAAACAGGAUUAGAUACCCUUGUAGUC